This 558-nucleotide long non-coding RNA is filed under the name Homo sapiens (human). Its description in RNAcentral is "HSALNT0153426". The record is from RNAcentral. Lineage: Eukaryota; Metazoa; Chordata; Mammalia; Primates; Hominidae.
GCUCAGGGCCCUCCGAACAAAGCAGCGCUCGGUGCCGGACCUGCAGCUCUCCCCACCCGGCAGCAGCGCCCUCAGCACGCCCGGGAACCCCCGACCCCUCUGAGCCCGGGGUACUGCGCCCGGGUCUCCACGCCCAGAGAUGCUCCCCGGUCUCCACCGUCGGGCAAGCCCCAAGCGCAGCAGCGCAGAGUCCUGGGGUCACCAGAGCUCGUACUAGGACAUCGUCUCCCCAUUUAACACCGCCUCCGGUCCCAUCUGAGUUGCAAGUGGUGGGGAUGUGGGGCUCCGGAUCAAAGUCCCCGAAACCGAGCACUUCCCGAAGCCUCCUUGGCCUCGAAACAAAACAAUAACGCCCAAGCGACCUACUGCCUUGGAGAUUCCCAGCCUGAGCUCCCCAGGUCCCUCAGAGGACCCGAGAGGAACAUCUUACUGCUUCUCUUCAUAAAUUGAGAGGAAGGAGGCCACAAAAUCCAUCAUAUUCCAGAACUCCCACCACCUGCAUACAGACAUUCAGCUGCACAAGCCCCCUCCAUGCUACAGUCAACAGGAUCUCCAGGC